This 333-nucleotide ribosomal RNA is filed under the name uncultured bacterium. Its description in RNAcentral is "bacterial SSU rRNA". It matches the Rfam family "Bacterial small subunit ribosomal RNA", at positions 568 to 898 of the family's 1533-position model. The record is from RNAcentral.
CGCGUAGGCGGCCUUGUAAGUCUCAUGUGAAAUACCCGCUUUCAAGGCGGGGGUGUCAUGAGAAACUGCGAGGCUUGAGGUCAGGAGAGGAAAGCGGAAUUCCCAGUGUAGCGGUGAAAUGCGUAGAGAUUGGGAGGAACACCAGUGGCGAAGGCGGCUUUCUGGACUGAAACUGACGCUGAGGCGCGAAAGCGUGGGGAGCAAACAGGAUUAGAUACCCUGGUAGUCCACGCUGUAAACGAUGGAUGCUAGGUGUAGGGGGUAUCGACUCCCUCUGUGCCGCAGUGAACGCAAUAAGCAUCCCGCCUGGGGGAGUACGGCCGCAAGGUUGAA